This 505-nucleotide ribosomal RNA is filed under the name uncultured Geomyces. RNAcentral's name for it is "eukaryotic LSU rRNA". It matches the Rfam family "Eukaryotic large subunit ribosomal RNA", at positions 89 to 600 of the family's 3401-position model. Lineage: Eukaryota; Fungi; Ascomycota; Leotiomycetes; Myxotrichaceae. The record is from RNAcentral.
GCGAGUGAAGCGGUAACAGCUCAAAUUUGAAAUCUGGCCUCACGGUCCGAGUUGUAAUUUGUAGAGGAUGCUUCGAGCAUGGUCUGGCCUAAGUUCCUUGGAACAGGACGUCAUAGAGGGUGAGAAUCCCGUAUGCGGCCAGGUGCCUACGCUCAUGUGAAGCUCCUUCGACGAGUCGAGUUGUUUGGGAAUGCAGCUCAAAAUGGGUGGUAAAUUUCAUCUAAAGCUAAAUAUUGGCCAGAGACCGAUAGCGCACAAGUAGAGUGAUCGAAAGAUGAAAAGCACUUUGGAAAGAGAGUUAAACAGUACGUGAAAUUGUUGAAAGGGAAGCGCUUGCAACCAGACUUGCGCGCGGCCGAUCAUCCGGUGUUCUCACCGGUGCACUCGGCCGUGCUCAGGCCAGCAUCGGUUUUGGCGGCUGGAUAAAGGCCCUAGGAAUGUAGCUCCUCUCGGGGAGUGUUAUAGCCUAGGGUGCAAUGCAGCCUGCUGGGACCGAGGACCGCGC